RNAcentral lists this ribosomal RNA (263 nucleotides) under uncultured bacterium. RNAcentral's name for it is "partial 16S ribosomal RNA". It matches the Rfam family "Bacterial small subunit ribosomal RNA", at positions 29 to 289 of the family's 1533-position model. The record is from RNAcentral.
AUUAACGCUAGCGGCAGGCAUAAUACAUGCAAGUUGAACGGCAGCACAGGUAGCAAUACUGGGUGGCGAGUGGCGCACGGGUGCGUAACACGUAUGCAACCUACCCUAUACAGGCGAAUAACCUUUAGAAGUGAGGGCUAAUACGCCGUAGUAUUACAGAUGGGCAUCUAUUUGUAAUUAAAGAUUUAUCGGUAUAGGAUGGGCAUGCGUCCCAUUAGUUAGUUGGUAAGGUAACGGCUUACCAAGACGAUGAUGGGUAGGGG